RNAcentral lists this ribosomal RNA (851 nucleotides) under uncultured bacterium. RNAcentral's name for it is "bacterial SSU rRNA". It matches the Rfam family "Bacterial small subunit ribosomal RNA", at positions 1 to 883 of the family's 1533-position model. The record is from RNAcentral.
CCGCGGGAUUAGAGUUUGAUCCUGGCUCAGAAUCAACGCUGGCGGCGCGCUUAACACAUGCAAGUCGAGCGAGAAAGUGGAGCAAUCCAUGAGUACAGCGGCGUACGGGUGAGUAACACGUGGGUCAUAUACCUCUUAGUGGGAAUAACCCUGGGAAACCGGGGCUAAUACCGCAUAAGCCUGCAAAGGGAAAGUAGCAAUACGCUGAGAGAGUAGCCCGCGGCCGAUUAGCUAGUUGGUGAGGUAAUGGCUCACCAAGGCGGUGAUCGGUAGCCGGCCUGAGAGGGCACACGGCCACACUGGCACUGAAACACGGGCCAGACUCCUACGGGAGGCAGCAGUGGGGAAUCUUGCACAAUGGAGGAAACUCUGAUGCAGCGACGCCGCGUGAGCGAUGAAGCCCUUCGGGGUGUAAAGCUCUUUCGGCAGGGACGAUAAUGACGGUACCUGAAGAAGAAGCUGCGGCUAACUACGUGCCAGCAGCCGCGGUAAUACGUAGGCAGCGAGCGUUGUUCGGAAUUACUGGGCGUAAAGAGUGUGUAGGCGGUGCUCUAAGUUCGGUGUGAAAUCUCCUGGCUUAACUGGGAGGGUGCGCCGAAAACUGGAAUGCUCGAACGUGGGAGAGGAAAGCGGAAUUCCUGGUGUAGCGGUGAAAUGCGUAGAUAUCAGGAGGAACACCUGCGGUGUAGACGGCUUUCUGGACCAUUGUUGACGCUGAGACACGAAAGCGUGGGUAGCAAACAGGAUUAGAUACCCUGGUAGUCCACGCCCUAAACGAUGCAUACUUGGUGUCGGCCAUUCAGUUGGUCGGUGCCGGAGCUAACGCGUUAAGUAUGCCGCCUGGGGAGUAC